Molecule: ribosomal RNA, 250 nt
Filed under: Candidatus Moraniibacteriota bacterium
Lineage: Bacteria; Candidatus Moraniibacteriota
Description: partial 23S ribosomal RNA
Rfam family: Bacterial large subunit ribosomal RNA
Source: RNAcentral
GAGCUGCUCCUAGUACGAGAGGACCGGAGUGGACGAACCUAUGGUGUACCAGUUGUGACGCCAGUCGCAUCGCUGGGUAGCUAUGUUCGGAAGGGAUAACCGCUGAAAGCAUCUAAGCGGGAAGCCAAGCUCAAGAUAAGGCAACAGUACAAGUUUACUUGUACAAAAUUUCCUAGAAGAUUACUAGGUUGAUAGGCUGCAGAUGUAAGUCCUGAGAGGGAUUCAGUCAAGCAGUACUAAUAAAUUUAUU